This 734-nucleotide ribosomal RNA is filed under the name uncultured bacterium. RNAcentral describes it as "bacterial SSU rRNA". It matches the Rfam family "Bacterial small subunit ribosomal RNA", at positions 50 to 773 of the family's 1533-position model. The record is from RNAcentral.
AACACAUGCAAGUCGAACGGUAGCACAGAGGAGCUUGCUCCUUGGGUGACGAGUGGCGGACGGGUGAGUAAUGUCUGGGAAACUGCCCGAUGGAGGGGGAUAACUACUGGAAACGGUAGCUAAUACCGCAUAACGUCGCAAGACCAAAGAGGGGGACCUUCGGGCCUCUUGCCAUCGGAUGUGCCCAGAUGGGAUUAGCUAGUAGGUGGGGUAAUGGCUCACCAAGGCGACGAUCCCUAGCUGUUCUGAGAGGAUGAUCAGCCACACUGGGACUGAGACACGGCCCAGACUCCUACGGGAGGCAGCAGUGGGGAAUAUUGCACAAUGGGGGAAACCCUGAUGCAGCCAUGCCGCGUGUGUGAAGAAGGCCUUCGGGUUGUAAAGCACUUUCAGUAGGGAGGAAAGGUAAUAACUUAAUACGUUAUUACUGUGACGUUACCUACAGAAGAAGGACCGGCUAACUCCGUGCCAGCAGCCGCGGUAAUACGGAGGGUCCGAGCGUUAAUCGGAAUUACUGGGCGUAAAGCGUGCGCAGGCGGUUUGUUUAGCGAGAUGUGAAAGCCCCGGGCUCAACCUGGGAAUUGCAUUUCGAACUGGCGAACUAGAGUCUUGUAGAGGGGGGUAGAAUUCCAGGUGUAGCGGUGAAAUGCGUAGAGAUCUGGAGGAAUACCGGUGGCGAAGGCGGCCCCCUGGACAAAGACUGACGCUCACGCACGAAAGCGUGGGGAGCAAAC